AAGGCUUGACAUGCAUUUCUAAGCGCGUGAAAGCGUGUGACCCUUCGGGGGACUUGCACAGGUGCUGCAUGGCCGUCGUCAGCUCGUGUCGUGAGAUGUUGGGUUAAGUCCCGCAACGAGCGCAACCCCUGUGGACAGUUGCCAGCGGGUAAUGCCGGGGACUCUGUUCAGACUGCCCAGAUCAACUGGGAGGAAGGUGGGGACGACGUCAGGUCAGUAUGGCCCUUACGCCUUGGG
RNAcentral lists this ribosomal RNA (237 nucleotides) under uncultured bacterium. RNAcentral describes it as "partial 16S ribosomal RNA". It matches the Rfam family "Bacterial small subunit ribosomal RNA", at positions 976 to 1213 of the family's 1533-position model. The record is from RNAcentral.